CCUACGGGUGGUGCAGUGGGGAAUAUUGGACAAUGGGCGAAAGCCUGAUCCAGCCAUGCCGCGUGUGUGAAGAAGGCCUUCGGGUUGUAAAGCACUUUCAGUGGGGAAGAAAGCCUUGGGGCUAAUACCCUCGAGGAAGGACAUCACCCACAGAAGAAGCACCGGCUAACUCCGUGCCAGCAGCCGCGGUAAUACGGAGGGUGCGAGCGUUAAUCGGAAUUACUGGGCGUAAAGCGCGCGUAGGCGGUCUGAUAAGCCGGUUGUGAAAGCCCCGGGCUCAACCUGGGAACGGCAUCCGGAACUGUCAGGCUAGAGUGCAGGAGAGGAAGGUAGAAUUCCCGGUGUAGCGGUGAAAUGCGUAGAGAUCGGGAGGAAUACCAGUGGCGAAGGCGGCCUUCUGGACUGACACUGACGCUGAGGUGCGAAAGCGUGGGUAGCAAACAGGAUUAGAUACCCCUGUAGUC
Molecule: ribosomal RNA, 464 nt
Filed under: Vreelandella stevensii
Lineage: Bacteria; Pseudomonadati; Pseudomonadota; Gammaproteobacteria; Oceanospirillales; Halomonadaceae
Description: partial 16S ribosomal RNA
Rfam family: Bacterial small subunit ribosomal RNA
Source: RNAcentral